Molecule: ribosomal RNA, 368 nt
Filed under: uncultured organism
Description: bacterial SSU rRNA
Rfam family: Bacterial small subunit ribosomal RNA
Source: RNAcentral
CGAAGGAUGCAAGCGUUAUCCGGAUUCAUUGGGUUUAAAGGGAGCGUAGGUGGACUGAUAAGUCAGUGGUGAAAUCUUCGAGCUUAACUCGGAAAUUGCCAUUGAUACUGUUGGUCUUGAGUACAGUUGCUGUGGGCGGAAUAUGACAUGUAGUGGUGAAAUACAUAGAGAUGUCAUAGAACACCGAUUGCGAAGGCAGCUCACAAAGCUGUAACUGACACUGAGGCUCGAAAGUGCGGGGAUCAAACAGGAUUAGAUACCCUGGUAGUCCGCACCGUAAACGAUGAUUACUCGCUGCUAGAUGGCAACAUUUAGUGGCUUAGCGAAAGCGAUAAGUAAUCCACCUGGGGAGUACGCCGGCAACGGUG